GACGAACGCUGGCGGCGUGCUUAACACAUGCAAGUCGAACGGGUCUGCCCUGUUUUUUGCGGGGUGGGUCAGUGGCGAACGGGUGAGUAACACGUGAGUAACCUGCCCCUCACUUCUGGAUAACCGCUUGAAAGGGUGGCUAAUACGGGGUGUUCUGGCUGUGCCGCAUGGUGUGGCUGGGAAAGAUUCACUUUUGUGGUGUUUUGGUGGGGGAUGGGCUCGCGGCCUAUCAGCUUGUUGGUGGGGUGAUGGCCUGCCAAGGCUUUGACGGGUAGCCGGCCUGAGAGGGUGGGCGGUCACACUGGGACUGAGAUACGGCCCAGACUCCUGCGGGGGGCAGCAGGGGGGGGUAUUGCACAAUGGGCGGAAGCCUGAUGCAGCGACGUCGCGUGAGGGAUGGAGGCCUUCGGGUUGUGAACCUCUUUCGCCGGUGAAGAAGGUCCUGCUCUUUGUGGUGGGGUUGACGGUAGCCGGGUUAUGAAGCGCCGGCUAACUACGUG
RNAcentral lists this ribosomal RNA (500 nucleotides) under uncultured bacterium. RNAcentral's name for it is "partial 16S ribosomal RNA". It matches the Rfam family "Bacterial small subunit ribosomal RNA", at positions 28 to 507 of the family's 1533-position model. The record is from RNAcentral.